Long non-coding RNA from Vitis vinifera (wine grape), 242 nucleotides. RefSeq lists it as uncharacterized. NCBI's taxonomy places the organism in Eukaryota, Viridiplantae, Streptophyta, Magnoliopsida, Vitales, Vitaceae. The transcript is spliced from 2 exons. The record is from RefSeq and is a predicted model, not a curated record.
GAAGAGUAGAUUAUAUUUUUUUUCAGAAUUAUUCUUCUCCCAAGCUUUCAAGGACUUCUUUUGAGGUACUCUUAGUUCGGGUGAGGAGUGAUGGCUAGGCUGAGGAAUGGUCAUCAUUAGGAUUUGACUUAGGAUUUUAUGUUGGAUUUUGUUUAACUAUUAGUUAUGUUAUUUUGGAUCAUUUGGUAUUUGGAAGUUAUUUGGAAAUUGAAUUUUGAGGAUUUUAGAUUUUGUUUCCGCUA